UCUGAAAUGUUGACCUCGGAUCAGGUAGGAA
Molecule: ribosomal RNA, 31 nt
Filed under: Trichoderma viride
Lineage: Eukaryota; Fungi; Ascomycota; Sordariomycetes; Hypocreales; Hypocreaceae
Also listed under: 2 other names
Description: partial 28S ribosomal RNA
Source: RNAcentral